CUUGCUCCUUUGACGUUAGCGGCGGACGGGUGAGUAACACGUGGGUAACCUACCUAUAAGACUGGGAUAACUUCGGGAAACCGGAGCUAAUACCGGAUAACAUUUGGAACCGCAUGGUUCUAAAGUGAAAGAUGGUUUUGCUAUCACUUAUAGAUGGACCCGCGCCGUAUUAGCUAGUUGGUAAGGUAACGGCUUACCAAGGCGACGAUACGUAGCCGACCUGAGAGGGUGAUCGGCCACACUGGAACUGAGACACGGUCCAGACUCCUACGGGAGGCAGCAGUAGGGAAUCUUCCGCAAUGGGCGAAAGCCUGACGGAGCAACGCCGCGUGAGUGAUGAAGGGUUUCGGCUCGUAAAACUCUGUUAUUAGGGAAGAACAAACGUGUAAGUAACUGUGCACGUCUUGACGGUACCUAAUCAGAAAGCCACGGCUAACUACGUGCCAGCAGCCGCGGUAAUACGUAGGUGGCAAGCGUUAUCCGGAAUUAUUGGGCGUAAAGCGCGCGUAGGCGGUUUCUUAAGUCUGAUGUGAAAGCCCACGGCUCAACCGUGGAGGGUCAUUGGAAACUGGGAAACUUGAGUGCAGAAGAGGAAAGUGGAAUUCCAUGUGUAGCGGUGAAAUGCGCAGAGAUAUGGAGGAACACCAGUGGCGAAGGCGACUUUCUGGUCUGUAACUGACGCUGAUGUGCGAAAGCGUGGGGAUCAAACAGGAUUAGAUACCCUGGUAGUCCACGCCGUAAACGAUGAGUGCUAAGUGUUAGGGGGGUUUCCGCCCCUUAGUGCUGCAGCUAACGCAUUAAGCACUCCGCCUGGGGAGUACGACCGCAAGGUUGAAACUCAAAGGAAUUGACGGGGACCCGCACAAGCGGUGGAGCAUGUGGUUUAAUUCGAAGCAACGCGAAGAACCUUACCAAAUCUUGACAUCCUUUGAAAACUCUAGAGAUAGAGCCUUCCCCUUCGGGGGACAAAGUGACAGGUGGUGCAUGGUUGUCGUCAGCUCGUGUCGUGAGAUGUUGGGUUAAGUCCCGCAACGAGCGCAACCCUUAAGCUUAGUUGCCAUCAUUAAGUUGGGCACUCUAGGUUGACUGCCGGUGACAAACCGGAGGAAGGUGGGGAUGACGUCAAAUCAUCAUGCCCCUUAUGAUUUGGGCUACACACGUGCUACAAUGGACAAUACAAAGGGCAGCUAAACCGCGAGGUCAUGCAAAUCCCAUAAAGUUGUUCUCAGUUCGGAUUGUAGUCUGCAACUCGACUACAUGAAGCUGGAAUCGCUAGUAAUCGUAGAUCAGCAUGCUACGGUGAAUACGUUCCCGGGUCUUGUACACACCGCCCGUCACACCACGAGAGUUUGUAACACCCGAA
This 1363-nucleotide ribosomal RNA is filed under the name Staphylococcus saprophyticus. RNAcentral's name for it is "bacterial SSU rRNA". It matches the Rfam family "Bacterial small subunit ribosomal RNA", at positions 79 to 1425 of the family's 1533-position model. The record is from RNAcentral. Lineage: Bacteria; Bacillati; Bacillota; Bacilli; Caryophanales; Staphylococcaceae.